This 929-nucleotide ribosomal RNA is filed under the name uncultured bacterium. Its description in RNAcentral is "bacterial SSU rRNA". It matches the Rfam family "Bacterial small subunit ribosomal RNA", at positions 1 to 915 of the family's 1533-position model. The record is from RNAcentral.
UUAGAGUUUGAUCCUGGCUCAGGACGAACGCUGGCGGCGUGCCUAAUACAUGCAAGUCGAGCGGACAGAUGGGAGCUUGCUCCCUGAUGUUAGCGGCGGACGGGUGAGUAACACGUGGGUAACCUGCCUGUAAGACUGGGAUAACUCCGGGAAACCGGGGCUAAUACCGGAUGCUUGAUUGAACCGCAUGGUUCAAUUAUAAAAGGUGGCUUUUAGCUACCACUUACAGAUGGACCCGCGGCGCAUUAGCUAGUUGGUGAGGUAACGGCUCACCAAGGCAACGAUGCGUAGCCGACCUGAGAGGGUGAUCGGCCACACUGGGACUGAGACACGGCCCAGACUCCUACGGGAGGCAGCAGUAGGGAAUCUUCCGCAAUGGACGAAAGUCUGACGGAGCAACGCCGCGUGAGUGAUGAAGGUUUUCGGAUCGUAAAACUCUGUUGUUAGGGAAGAACAAGUACCGUUCGAAUAGGGCGGUACCUUGACGGUACCUAACCAGAAAGCCACGGCUAACUACGUGCCAGCAGCUGCGGUAAUACGUAGGUGGCAAGCGUUGUCCGGAAUUAUUGGGCGUAAAGCGCGCGCAGGCGGUUUCUUAAGUCUGAUGUGAAAGCCCCCGGCUCAACCGGGGAGGGUCAUUGGAAACUGGGGAACUUGAGUGCAGAAGAGGAGAGUGGAAUUCCACGUGUAGCGGUGAAAUGCGUAGAGAUGUGGAGGAACACCAGUGGCGAAGGCGACUCUCUGGUCUGUAACUGACGCUGAGGCGCGAAAGCGUGGGGAGCGAACAGGAUUAGAUACCCUGGUAGUCCACGCCGUAAACGAUGAGUGCUAAGUGUUAGAGGGUUUCCGCCCUUUAGUGCUGCAGCAAACGCAUUAAGCACUCCGCCUGGGGAGUACGGUCGCAAGACUGAAACUCAAAGGAAUUGACG